RNAcentral lists this ribosomal RNA (573 nucleotides) under uncultured Actinobacillus sp. Its description in RNAcentral is "bacterial SSU rRNA". It matches the Rfam family "Bacterial small subunit ribosomal RNA", at positions 96 to 665 of the family's 1533-position model. Lineage: Bacteria; Pseudomonadati; Pseudomonadota; Gammaproteobacteria; Pasteurellales; Pasteurellaceae. The record is from RNAcentral.
UGGCGGACGGGUGAGUAAUGCUUGGGAAUCUGGCUUAUGGAGGGGGAUAACUACGGGAAACUGUAGCUAAUACCGCGUAAUAUCUUCGGAUUAAAGGGUGGGACUUUCGGGCCACCUGCCAUAAGAUGAGCCCAAGUGGGAUUAGGUAGUUGGUGGGGUAAAGGCCUACCAAGCCGACGAUCUCUAGCUGGUCUGAGAGGAUGACCAGCCACACUGGAACUGAGACACGGUCCAGACUCCUACGGGAGGCAGCAGUGGGGAAUAUUGCACAAUGGGGGGAACCCUGAUGCAGCCAUGCCGCGUGAAUGAAGAAGGCCUUCGGGUUGUAAAGUUCUUUCGGUGAUGAGGAAGGGUAGUGUUUUAAUAGAGCACUACAUUGACGUUAGUCACAGAAGAAGCACCGGCUAACUCCGUGCCAGCAGCCGCGGUAAUACGGAGGGUGCGAGCGUUAAUCGGAAUGACUGGGCGUAAAGGGCACGCAGGCGGUGACUUAAGUGAGAUGUGAAAGCCCCCAGCUUUACUUGGGAAUUGCAUUUCAUACUGGGUUGCUAGAGUAUUUUAGGGAGGGGUAGA